AUGAAGGCCGGGAGGAAGAACCUGCGGCGCGCGUGGCAGGAGGGCACCGCCGUCACGCUCGCGGAGAACGAGAGCAUCAUGCAGGUCGUCACGCUGCGCGGCUCCAACCUCAUCGAGGUCACAGACGGCGAGGGCGUCAAGUCUCUCGCCCUGAUCCCCGCCAAGUUCCAAAAGUGUUUCUGGAUCAAGAACGGGAAUUUCGUGGUUGUUGAUGCUAGUGGGAGGGACGAGGCUCUAGAAUCUGGAAGCAAGAUAGCCUGCGUUGUGUCGCGAGUCCUCUUUCAUGACCAAGUUCGUGCGCUCCAGAAAUCUGGCGAAUGGCCGACUAUCUUCAAGUCAACUCCCAAUGGGUGGCCGACAGGGCCAGAAGGAAUGACAUCACAUGAUGAUGAUGAUGAUGAUGAUAUGCCUCCACUCGAGGCGAACACGAACCUAAAUAGGCCAUUCAACGUGCAUUCCGAUACAGAAAGUGACUCUGAUUCUUGA
RNAcentral lists this ribosomal RNA (486 nucleotides) under Triticum aestivum (bread wheat). RNAcentral's name for it is "partial small subunit ribosomal RNA". The record is from RNAcentral. Lineage: Eukaryota; Viridiplantae; Streptophyta; Magnoliopsida; Poales; Poaceae.